AUACGGAGGGUGCAAGCGUUGUUCGGAAUUAUUGGGCGUAAAGGGCGCGUAGGCGGUAAUGUAAGUCAGAUGUGAAAUACUCCGGCUCAACCAGAGAACUGCAUCUGAAACUGCAUAACUAGAGUACAGAAGAGGGAAACGGAAUUCCCGGUGUAGAGGUGAAAUUCGUAGAUAUCGGGAGGAACACCAGUGGCGAAGGCGGUUUCCUGGUCUGAUACUGACGCUGAGGCGCGAAAGCGUGGGGAGC
Molecule: ribosomal RNA, 247 nt
Filed under: uncultured bacterium
Lineage: Bacteria
Description: partial 16S ribosomal RNA
Rfam family: Bacterial small subunit ribosomal RNA
Source: RNAcentral